RNAcentral lists this ribosomal RNA (253 nucleotides) under uncultured bacterium. RNAcentral describes it as "partial 16S ribosomal RNA". It matches the Rfam family "Bacterial small subunit ribosomal RNA", at positions 524 to 776 of the family's 1533-position model. The record is from RNAcentral.
GCCGGAGGAGGCAAUCGUUAUCCGGAAUGAUUGGGCGUAAAGCGUCCGUAGGUGGCCAAUCAAGUCUGCGGUUAAAGACAGGGGCUUAACUCCUGAAAGGCCGUGGAAACUGAAGGGCUAGAGUAGGAUAGGGGCAGAGGGAAUUCCCGGUGUAGCGGUGAAAUGCGUAGAGAUCGGGAAGAACAUCGGUGGCGAAAGCGCUCUGCUGGGUCCAAACUGACACUGAGGGACGAAAGCUAGGGGAGAGAAUGGG